AUCACUUCUUGGCCUUUUGGCUAAGAUCAAGUGUAAUGUCAUGCUGUCAUGAUAUUAUCUGAAUGGUAGGACAAAAAUGGACACAAAUUACAAUUGGAUGUUUUCUUCUAACAAGUGAUUUUGGGGGAGUCUAAUAACCCUUUAAAGUGACAGACUUCAAAAAUUUAUGUAUUUGUUUCAGUUUUUUAGAUUAGAGGUUAUUUACC
This 206-nucleotide small nuclear RNA is filed under the name Heterocephalus glaber (naked mole-rat). RNAcentral describes it as "U2 spliceosomal RNA (ENSHGLG00000037459.1)". The stretch from base 1 to 158 matches the Rfam family "U2 spliceosomal RNA". Rfam says of the family: U2 is a small nuclear RNA (snRNA) component of the spliceosome (involved in pre-mRNA splicing). Complementary binding between U2 snRNA (in an area lying towards the 5' end but 3' to hairpin I) and the branchpoint sequence (BPS) of the intron results the bulging out of an unpaired adenosine, on the BPS, which initiates a nucleophilic attack at the intronic 5' splice site, thus starting the first of two transesterification reactions that mediate splicing. Lineage: Eukaryota; Metazoa; Chordata; Mammalia; Rodentia; Bathyergidae. The record is from RNAcentral.